This is a long non-coding RNA of Dromaius novaehollandiae (emu), 640 nucleotides long. RefSeq lists it as uncharacterized. The record is from RefSeq and is a predicted model, not a curated record. NCBI's taxonomy places the organism in Eukaryota, Metazoa, Chordata, Aves, Casuariiformes, Dromaiidae. The transcript has 3 exons.
AGGCAAGACUUUCUGAAAGGCAUCCAAAAAGCUUGCAACUAAGAGAAACUGUGACAAAUCUCAGUCAUCUCUAGAGAGAGCAGGUUCUUGUCAAGGAAAGGAGUGGAGGAGACCGAAUGCCAACAGCCAGAAGAUCUCUAGAGGGAACAGCAAGUCUUUCUGUCAAGAAAACCCCUUUCUCUGUGGACUGUUGGAGGACAAGAAUAAAAUUGUGUUUGAUUCUAUCCACUUUAAAUAAACACACUUGGGCAGUCAUAACAGGGAAAGUUUAGCAAGGACAGGCCCCGUUCCACGCACCCCACAGUAAGAGAGAUGAACCAACUGGUUGGUAAGAACCAGCUGAAGAGUGCUCAGAGAAGAGUGGUGAGAAACAAAGAGAUGUGGAAAUUUCCCAUGAAGAGAUUUGUAUAGCAUUGUGGUUGCUUAGAUGUGAGAAGAUUGUGGAAGGGGCACUGCAGCAGUGUUCAAGCAAAAAUAUUGUCUAAGUCCAUUAUGAAUAAAUUGUGAAGAAAAUUACAUACUUAAAUAACUUUCUGAUGGUAAAGAUAGUUAGAGUCUGAAUAAACUGUAUUGCAAGAUUUUGAAAUAGCUAUCAUUAAUCUCACCUUUUGACAGGAAAAUGAUUGGGAUUAUAAAAUGC